CUCUAACAAGCUAUGGCAAACAAAGUGAGACUGCUCGUCUGCGUUCUGGCCCUGACUCUGAGCAUUUACACGUAUCGAUACUAGCUCACUGCCACUUCGUCCUCAAAAUUCGCCAUACAAUUCCAGUCUCGUACCUCGCCGCUUCAAUCUGUCUCUCUCAUCCCUCAUUCAUUCGUUCGUCAGCCGUCUAUUCGUCGUCAUCCAUUCACCGACUGUACAGUGACACGUCAAGAAGCCAAAACCAACGGUACACAGUACUACAAUGCUGCAUGUGAGGCACAUGGAGAUGAAGGAAAGUGGGAAUUCCAAACACAAACAUCGGAUGAAGAUCUUGAGCCAUGCUCCGUCAUUCGCGAGUAUGGCCCCCCCAGGAAACGGCAAAGAAAGGAAUGAUUUGUUUUAUGUCUAACGUAUGUUUAAAAUUUUAAGUCUGUAUUAAUUAUUAAAGUGACGUGUACACUUUUCUGUAAAAUGUGAUAUUAUUGUGAUGUAACACUGCUACCAUUAAUUAUGUCCCUCAUUUUUCUUAUUAGCUUGUAGUUAAAAAUUUUAAAUGGCAAUUAAAAAAUACGUUAUUUUAUUCCUUGUGUUUCUCUGAGUGUGCCCCAAGAAGGGGCUGGGCGUCUCAACUGUUGACAAUUUAUUGAUUGUAA
Long non-coding RNA from Frankliniella occidentalis (western flower thrips), 653 nucleotides. RefSeq lists it as uncharacterized. The transcript has 4 exons. Lineage: Eukaryota; Metazoa; Arthropoda; Insecta; Thysanoptera; Thripidae. The record is from RefSeq and is a predicted model, not a curated record.